Triticum aestivum (bread wheat) is the source of this 1270-nucleotide long non-coding RNA. RefSeq lists it as uncharacterized. NCBI's taxonomy places the organism in Eukaryota, Viridiplantae, Streptophyta, Magnoliopsida, Poales, Poaceae. The record is from RefSeq and is a predicted model, not a curated record. The transcript is spliced from 3 exons.
UGCGCGAGUAAAAAAGUAGUUUUUUCCAAAGUGCGGAUAAGAUAGGGCGUCUCGAGAUGCUCUCACACAAAGCCCAUGGCGCAAGAAUUGGAUCCGCACCUCCUGUACACACUGCCGUCACACAAAGCCCAUCGAGCAAGAAUUGGAUCCGCACAUCUCUCUCACAACCACGUGGACAAGGACGCAUGCCGGAGCAGCGGGCUCGUCGUGACUAUCGACGGCGCCGUGUUCGCGGCCGACUCGGCCGUCCACGCCGUCGGGCUUCUCGUCACCGUGCUCCGGAAGGUGGGCGCAGCCCACGCGUACGUCCGCAGCGGCAGGUGGAAGACCAACGCCCGACGGCAUGUACCCUCUCGGCUCUCGCCACCAAGGUGAGCGGCAAGCGGGUGUGGAUCGUGGGGCUGGGCAAUAUCGGCUCCAGCUCGCGGCCUUCGGCUGCGCUGUCUCCUCUCGCCGCCUUCGGCGCUGCCGGACCUCGCCGCAGGCAGCAACGUGUUGGUGCUCCCCUACGCGCAGACCGACGAAACCAAGCACAUGGUAAACUGGGAGGUGAAAUAGGCAACACGACUUGAGAUUUAGAGAUAAAGGCUGAGCACCGAGGAAACAGGACUUGAAAAGGCACAUGCAUAUUUUAGAAGUCUAAUUGAACUUUAAUGUUAUAUCCGAUCUUCUCAAGCAUCUCCAUAAUUUUUCCAUACCACUUUGACACAAUUUCCUGAUUCCAGUUAACGCUUUAACUGUUUGUUAGUGACCAUAAUGGAAUUUACUUCAUAUAUGAUACAAAAUUUUGGUGCUCCUGUAAUUCGACCUGUUAGAGAGAGGUUGUAGCAUACUCAUUUGUUGGGUUUAGUUACAUAAGAUAGACUAGAUACAUUUAAUAGUGCACCAUAUUUUUUGUUCAAUUGGACAAUGAAUAUCAAUGUUUCAUUUCCUUGGUGAAAAAUACUAUUUUGGUGCUGCUAAGUUUUCGCCCCAUAGCAUUCGUUUCGAUGACGGGCGGAUGCAGUGUGUUUCCUAGUAUUGCAUUGAACUCGCUUUCGCCCUACCCCUCUCGUUUCUCCUGAUACUACGUAAGACUGAUGUAUUUCCGUUCUCUAUAAUGGAAAGGGGGUUACCGGUUCAAAAAAAAAUCCUUGGUGAAAAACAUAAGUACUAUGUUCUCAGUUUUACCAUUCUUGGAUACUACUCCUACUAAGGGAAGGCUCUCUUUUGAUGUAUCAAAUUCCAUAGUUAUCAAACUGUAUUUUAUAAUAGCAAUCACAUCUUAGGC